Molecule: long non-coding RNA, 272 nt
Filed under: Physcomitrium patens
Lineage: Eukaryota; Viridiplantae; Streptophyta; Bryopsida; Funariales; Funariaceae
Description: long non-coding RNA (PPAT_LNC007939)
Source: RNAcentral
ACUUGGAAUUGAUUAGGGUUCAUUUUAGGAUUUAAUUUAGAGUUAGGAUUAGGAUUUUGGAUUGAUUUAAGGUUUGAUUUAGGUUAGGAUUUGGUUAGGAUUUGGUUAGGAUUUGGUUAGGAUUUGUCUAAGAUUUGAUUAGGGCUUAUUUAGAAUUUUUUAGGAUUUGAUUAGGAUUUGAUUAAGAUUUUUUUAAGAUUUGAUUAGGACUUAUUUAGGGAUUGACUAAAUUUUGAUAAGGAUUUGACUAAGGUUUGAUUAAGAUUUGAUUA